RNAcentral lists this transfer RNA (69 nucleotides) under Strophurus wellingtonae. Its description in RNAcentral is "tRNA-Trp". The record is from RNAcentral. Lineage: Eukaryota; Metazoa; Chordata; Lepidosauria; Squamata; Diplodactylidae.
AGAAACUUAGGUUACCCUUAAACCAGAGGCCUUCAAAGCCUCAAACAGGAAGCAUACUCCUAGUUUCUG